Molecule: ribosomal RNA, 971 nt
Filed under: Amanita muscaria (fly agaric)
Lineage: Eukaryota; Fungi; Basidiomycota; Agaricomycetes; Agaricales; Amanitaceae
Description: LSU rRNA
Rfam family: Eukaryotic large subunit ribosomal RNA
Source: RNAcentral
CCGGUGAACUUAAGCAUNUCAAUAAGCGGGGGAAAAGAAACUAACAAGGAUUCCCUUAGUAACUGCGAGUGAAGAGGGAAGAGCUCAAAUUUAAAAUCUGGCAGUGUUUUGCUGUCCGAGUUGUAAUCUAGAGAAGUGCUGCCCGUGCUGGACCAUGUACAAGUCUCCUGGAAUGGAGCGUCACAGAGGGUGAGAAUCCCGUCUUUGACAUGGACUACCAGUGCAUUUGUGGUGUGCUCUCAAAGAGUCGAGUUGUUUGGGAAUGCAGCUCUAAAUGGGUGGUAAACUCCAUCUAAAGCUAAAUAUUGGCGAGAGACCGAUAGCGAACAAGUACCGUGAGGGAAAGAUGAAAAGAACUUUGGAAAGAGAGUUAAACAGUAUGUGAAAUUGUUGAAAGGGAAACGCUUAAAGUCAGUCGUGUCGGCCAGGGAUCAACUCAGCUUUAUCUGCUGGGUGUACUUCCUGAUCUGAUGGGCCAACAUCAGUUUUGACUGCUGGAGAAGGGCAGAGGGAAUGUGGCACCUUCGGGUGUGUUAUAGCUCUCUGUCAGAUGCAGUGGUUGGGACUGAGGAAAGCAGCAUGCCGCAAGGCCGGGUCGUUUCGACCACGUUCAUUGCUGAGGAUGUUGGCAUAAUGGCUUUAAUCGACCCGUCUUGAAACACGGACCAAGGAGUCUAACAUGCCUGCGAGUGUUUGGGUGGCAAACCCGAGUGCGGAAUGAAAUGAAAGGUUGAGAUCCCUGUCAUGGGGAGCAUCGAUGCCCGGACCUGAGCUUUUAGCAAAGGAUCUGCGGUAGAACAUGUAUGUUAAGGACCCGAAGAUGGUGAACUAUGCCUGAAUAGGUGAACCAGAAGAAACUCUGGUGGAAGCCCGUACCAAUCCUGACGUGCAAAUCGACGUCGAAUUGGGUAUAGGGGCAAAAAAUAAUCGAACCAUCUAGUACUGGUCCUGCCGAAUUUCCUCAGGAUACC